Molecule: transfer RNA, 69 nt
Filed under: Marmota monax (woodchuck)
Lineage: Eukaryota; Metazoa; Chordata; Mammalia; Rodentia; Sciuridae
Description: tRNA.Ala
Source: RNAcentral
GGAGUUGUGACUCAGCGGUAGAGUGCUCAGCUAGCUCGUGUGAGGCCCUGGGUUCGAUUCUCAGCACCA